GACGAACGCUGGCGGCGUGCUUAACACAUGCAAGUCGAACGGAAAGGCUCCAGCUUGCUGGAGUACUCGAGUGGCGAACGGGUGAGUAACACGUGGGUAAUCUGCCCUGCACUCUGGGAUAAGCCUGGGAAACUGGGUCUAAUACUGGAUAUGACCUUUCUCCUUAUGGGGUUUGGUGGAAAGUUUCUCGGUGUAGGAUGAGCCCGCGGCCUAUCAGCUUGUUGGUGGGGUGAUGGCCUACCAAGGCGACGACGGGUAGCCGGCCUGAGAGGGUGAUCGGCCACAUUGGGACUGAGAUACGGCCCAGACUCCUACGGGAGGCAGCAGUGGGGAAUAUUGCACAAUGGGCGGAAGCCUGAUGCAGCGACGCCGCGUGAGGGAUGACGGCCUUCGGGUUGUAAACCUCUUUCAGCAGGGACGAAGCGUAAGUGACGGUACCUGCAGAAGAAGCACCGGCUAACUAUGUG
This 467-nucleotide ribosomal RNA is filed under the name uncultured bacterium. RNAcentral describes it as "partial 16S ribosomal RNA". It matches the Rfam family "Bacterial small subunit ribosomal RNA", at positions 28 to 507 of the family's 1533-position model. The record is from RNAcentral.